This 248-nucleotide non-coding RNA is filed under the name Actinomyces graevenitzii C83. Its description in RNAcentral is "Bacterial large subunit ribosomal RNA". It matches the Rfam family "Bacterial large subunit ribosomal RNA", at positions 2681 to 2925 of the family's 2925-position model. Lineage: Bacteria; Bacillati; Actinomycetota; Actinomycetes; Actinomycetales; Actinomycetaceae. The record is from Rfam by way of RNAcentral.
GUACGAGAGGACCGGGACGGACGAACCUCUGGUGUGCCAGUUAUCCUGCCAGGGGUAUGGCUGGUUUGCUACGUUCGGGAUGGGUAACCGCUGAAAGCAUCUAAGCGGGAAACUAGCUUCGAGAUUAGGUUUCCGUCCCUGUUUUUUGGGGGGAGGUUCCCGGUAGAUUACCGGGUUGAUAGGCUAGGAGUGUAGACAUUGUAAGGUGACCAGCUUACUAGUACUAAUUGACCGAUUACUAACAAUAA